Molecule: ribosomal RNA, 448 nt
Filed under: uncultured bacterium
Lineage: Bacteria
Description: SSU rRNA
Rfam family: Bacterial small subunit ribosomal RNA
Source: RNAcentral
AGAGCGAACGCUGGCGGCAGGCUUAACACAUGCAAGUCGAGCGGGCGUAGCAAUACGUCAGCGGCAGACGGGUGAGUAACGCGUGGGAACAUACCUUUUGGUUCGGAACAACACAGGGAAACUUGUGCUAAUACCGGAUAAGCCCUUACGGGGAAAGAUUUAUCGCCGAAAGAUUGGCCCGCGUCUGAUUAGCUAGUUGGUGAGGUAACGGCUCACCAAGGCGACGAUCAGUAGCUGGUCUGAGAGGAUGAUCAGCCACAUUGGGACUGAGACACGGCCCAAAACUCCUACGGGAGGCAGCAGUGGGGAAUAUUGGACAAUGGGCGCAAGCCUGAUCCAGCCAUGCCGCGUGAGUGAUGAAGGCCCUAGGGUUGUAAAGCUCUUUUGUGCGGGAAGAUAAUGACGGUACCGCAAGAAUAAGCCCGGCUAACUUCGCGCCAGCAGCCGC